This 78-nucleotide transfer RNA is filed under the name Spinacia oleracea (spinach). It matches the Rfam family "tRNA". Rfam says of the family: Transfer RNA (tRNA) molecules are approximately 80 nucleotides in length. Their secondary structure includes four short double-helical elements and three loops (D, anti-codon, and T loops). The record is from Rfam by way of RNAcentral. Lineage: Eukaryota; Viridiplantae; Streptophyta; Magnoliopsida; Caryophyllales; Amaranthaceae.
GGGCAUGUAACUCAAGUGAUAGAUUAGAGCAUGUGACUACGAACCACGUUGUCUGAGGUUCGAAUCCCUCCUUGCCCA